This 1599-nucleotide ribosomal RNA is filed under the name Triticum aestivum (bread wheat). RNAcentral's name for it is "partial small subunit ribosomal RNA". Lineage: Eukaryota; Viridiplantae; Streptophyta; Magnoliopsida; Poales; Poaceae. The record is from RNAcentral.
UGAAUAAGAGAGCUAGGAAAGAAAGAGAGUUAGAGACAAAGAUUUGUUGCCGUAAAACUCGUUUGGUGAAUCAGUCACAGGUGGACAGCGGGUCGUGAAGUGGAAGUCAGUGCAGCGAUACGCUCGAGACGAGAGAGCGUAGGGCCAGAGAUGGCGACGGAAGAGGAGGAGGAGGAGGGUUUGGGAUCGGGGCUCGGGAUCGGAGCGGGGGGAGGCGGAGCCGGCGGCGAAGCAGCGGUACCGGCGGCGGCGGCGCCUCCUCAAGCACUUCCCAGCGCAGAAGGGGUUGCCGCAGCGGCAGUAGUGGGAGCUGGCGGGGUUCCGGGAGUUGCGGUACUUGGAGCUUUACCUGGAAUCCAUGUUCCGUAAAGAACUACUGACCCUUUGUUUAGGUUUACACUUCACGUAAGAACACCUUUCGUCAAGAGGGGCGCGGAAGAGUCGACCACCCCUACACUUCUCUGAACGAUAACUAACGUGAUACGGUCUCUAUUAUCUCCAGAAGUGUCGACUCAUGAGAAACUAAACGUUCUAUGUACUCAUACGUUUUGGAAUAUAUACGAACUACCUACCACACUGGUACCCCAAACCUUAACCUAACAGACCUGUACCGGCGAUGGCGCAAUAAUGGCUCUCUUGUGAGGACCGGUACGGUCUUUUACCAUAACCGAACAAGGGUCUACAACCGAAACGAAUGUAGCCACGUUUUCGCGGUCCUCCCCCGCGUCAGCCUCGAAUGGAACCCUACUGUCCUUUUUCUUAUAGAAGUGGACGACUACGAGACAAGUAUCCAGAGCCUUGGGUAAUACAUGGAAGGCCCCUGAACCCAAGUGAGUUCCUUAGGGAGGACUCACGAUUGAAGUGACGACUAGGAGUGUUUCUACAACUCAGUGAGGACUGACCCAUGUUCUUCCUUGGACUCAGCCACGGAGUUAAUCUUUUCGAAAAUGGCCUAUAACAAAGAAGAAAACCAGGACUAUUUAGUCGAUGACUUAGUCACCUUCUCGAUUUCUUCGCUUCAGUUUCACCACUGCGGUGACACAGUCUUACCCGUUUACUACGAAAUCGUCCUGAAGUCUUUCCACGAGGCAAAAGAGAAACAAAUUGUGUCUUUGUAAAGAGAGCUCAACGUAGCAGCAUACCCUUGUUACUUUUAAUAGAUAGAUUCAACCGACCACAAUACUUUAACCUCAUGGCGUAACGGAACUCUAGCAGCCAAGCUUCACUAAAACGACUUCCACAUGCUCGACAGAAUCAACUGUUCCUGGUCUUAGGUUUUACCUUAGGUCGUUGAGACCUUCUGCAUUUGUACCUACUCCAGCUUAGUCACAAACUUGGUAAUCGACGGUUGCGACUCAACUUACACACUAAAAGACAUCGUCGGGUCUUACGAUGCUGGUGGACUUGUGGGAAACAGGAAGGCUACUAGACAAAUAAACAACCUCGACUUCGCGUAUCUAAGUCCAAGUCCCAAAAUGAAGACGUCACGGUGACCCAUCACGCAGUAUGGUAUACCGCACGAACUCUUUUGUGACUUAGGGUGGCCUUCUUGUAACCCUAACUUCUUUGUACCAGGCCGGCCGUCUAAGAUUGUCUGCA